UCCCCGCUCUGUGGCCUUGGGCGAGCCACUUCAUUCCUCUGGGCCUCGGCUGGCCCAUCUCUAAAAUUGGCCCAUGUCUCAAACGGGGAAGACGACGGCGAGCCUCGAGAGGGCCAGGGAUGGGGGGGCAUUGUCCGACCCGACCCCACCCCAGCGCCCGGGAAGUUGCCGGCCACCUGGCCGUGAGCCCGUCACUGGGCACGGAGGGUCUCCAUCUGCGGCCCAGCUGUCCAUUCCGAGCGCUUAGUUCAGUGCUCCGCACGUAGGAAGGGCUCAGUGAGUGCUGUUGAAUAAAUGAUGAAUGAAUGACCGAGGGGCGGGGAGUCCGGGAGGAAGGGCCACCAAAUGCUCUGUCACGCUACACUGCUCUGCCUUUACUUAAGCCCGAACAGCACUGGGGACAUUGAUCCGUAGGAGGACCCCAGAGUGGCCUGUCAGGGAGUAUCACAGUUUCAGCCACAGUCAGUCAUCUAAUCUUUCAAUGGGAUUUAUUGAGUGCCUUCCAGUGCCGGGCCCAGUGCUGAACACUUGUGGGGAGAAGACCGGGAGCUAGACGUACAUUCUCCACUCUUGAAGAGCUGGUGGCCUCACAACAGGACUCUACUGACCCAUGCUUCUGGAGGCCUACAGGUGCAACAUACUGUUGCCAACUUGGAGGGGAGACAGGGGAAGGGAACACAGUAAGUGCUGAGGCCACUCCAUCACUGCCACCACAGCCAACAGCAGAAGACCAAACCCCAAGAUGAAGGGAGGGAAAAGGAACUUCAAAGAGUCACCUGGCAUCAAGCGUCUUUUCAGAGCCCCCAUCUCUGGCCUCCAGUUAACGUGGAGGAAUUUCAACUCCCUCGUCUCCCUCGUCUCCCUCCCUCCCGCCUGUCUGGAGUUGAGACUCAGAGCUGGAAGUCGCAGUUUCUCUUAGAGAAAAAGGCCAUGGUAAUCCUACUCUUUGUCCAGGUGCCAUCCCCUACUAUGGCAGGGAAAUCCAAUCAGUCAAUCACCCAAUCAAUCAAUGGUAUUUAUUGAAUGCUUAU
This is a long non-coding RNA of Ornithorhynchus anatinus (platypus), 1031 nucleotides long. RefSeq lists it as uncharacterized. Lineage: Eukaryota; Metazoa; Chordata; Mammalia; Monotremata; Ornithorhynchidae. The record is from RefSeq and is a predicted model, not a curated record. The transcript is spliced from 3 exons.